CCGGGUGGGGCGGGCGCUCCGGAGCUUGGGGCGCCCUUGCAGCGGGAGGGUCCGCGCUCUGAGCGCAUCCAGGCAGGGAGGCCUCAGGUGGGCGGGGUGCCCUGAAGACCCCCGCCCGGCCCUGCCCACGGCGACCUGGCGGUUCAGAGCGUCCGCGGCGCGCACAACGCGUCCUUAGCUGGAGUUGUUCCGUCCCCGCUGCCGACCCCCGGGAAGUUCCCUUGGAAGUCUCAAGCCCUGACCCUCCGCUUCUGCUUCUACUUGAUGGGCCGGUCCGGCCGCCGCUCUGACUGUAGCCCUGUGCCCAACCUCCCACCCACAGCGCUGGUUCACGCGGCCUGUACCAGCGGCAGGGGUGGCAUGGGCGCGGUGGCAGCGAAUGCUAUGGCAACGGUUUGGUGCUGCCCCCAUUCCACCGUGAGACGGCGGAGGCCGGCGGGCGGGUGGCGGGUUAGGCCGGCCCACGCGCGUCCUCCGUCCUGCAGGCCCCGGGCCAUGGCUGCCUCUCCGGCUGACGCGUCCCGCAGGAGGCGGGAGAACCGGCGGCAGCUGGACGCGCGCCGCAGCAAGUGUCGCAUCCGCCUGGGCGGCCACAUGGAGCAGUGGUGCCUCCUCAAGGAACGGCUGGGCUUCUCCCUGCACUCGCAGCUGGCGAAGUUCCUGUUGGACCGGUACACGUCUUCAGGCUGUGUGCUGUGUGCAGGUCCCAAGCCUUUGCCCCCCAAGGGUCUGCAGCAUCUUGUUGUCCUGUCUCAUGCCCACAGCCGGGAGUGCAGUCUGGUGCCUGGGCUGCGUGGGCCUGGGGGCCGAGAUGGGGGGCUUGUGUGGGAGUGCUCCGCAGGCCACACCUUCUCCUGGGGCCCUUCUUCAGGCCCUACACCUCCAGAGGAGGCCAAGAUGGCCCCUCUUCCAAGUACCUCUGAGCAAAGCUGGUGCCAGCAGGCCAGGGGUGGGCAGGAGCCUGCAGAGGCCUCCCAGAAUUCAUACCACAGACUCCACCUGUCCUCAUCCCUCCAGACCAGAGUUUCUGCCCCUUUGACCCCACCUGUGCUAAUAGGUUUGGAAUGUGAGCAUGAGGCGAGGACUCGGGAGGCCAGGUCGCCCAGCGGGGUGAGACCCCCACCGGAGUCCUUCCUGCCCCUAAGAGAAGAGGAGGGAGAGGAAGAAGAUGGGAAUGAAGAGGAAGUGCUCAGCGAUGUCAGCCCAUGGACCUACAGCUCUUCCCCAGAUGGUAGUGAGCCAGAUGUCCCCAGACCACCCCCUUCCCCUGUCACCCACACACUUAAGGAGGGAGAGACACCCCCAGCCCCUGCAGCUGUCCCCACAUCUCUGCCUGUGGAAGGUGGGGCACAGCUGGUGAUCAAUGGGAUCCCUCCAGCGUCCCAGCAAACUGAGGCCUUGGCCAGCCCUGGGAGUCAGGCCCCGUCUGCUGUACCUUUGGCCCUGGAGGAGGACAGUGAGCACAUUGGCCCCAAGAGAAUUAGGAGAGCCGCCAGACGGGAGCUGCUGCCCUGCGACUUCCCCGGCUGUGGCAGGAUCUUCUCCAACCGCCAGUACUUGAAUAUGGGGAAGCCGAGGUACGUGAGGUUGCCACUGCCCAGGGCUCCUGGGCUCCAGCCUCACUGCAGGACGGGUUGGAGGCACAGAGCGGGCAAGGCCCAGGCCCACACUCAGCCAGGGCCCUCACAGGGCAGGUCCGGAGGCCGAGGAGGGCCCGCACUGGGCUGAUAUAGCAGAAAGACACAUGACACAGCCCUUGAGCUGGUGCUAGAACACAGGCCUUCGGGUGAUGCUGUGCUUGGACAGUCAGGCCCACCACAUGUUCCUGUCCCUGUCACUCAGCACACCCAUGCUUAGGGAGCCGCAAGUGUCACCAGAACUGCACUUUGUUCAAGGGACUGGACGUUGCAAGGGGAGGUUGUGGCAAGGAGGUGAGAUCAUGGAAGUCGAGGGCAGAGUUUGGGGUCAGGAUGGAAUGGGAUCGGGAUGCUUGUGUGUAGGUGAUGUGAGUUGGUGGUGACAGGGAGAAAUGAUGGGGUUGGGAUGGGGCAGAGGAGCCUGUCGACCAGGUCGCUCCAGCAGUCUCCCUGACACCACCCACUUUCCCUAGCACCAUAAAAAGUACCAGCACAUCCACCAAAAGUCCUUCUCCUGCCCAGAGCCAGCCUGUGGAAAGUCCUUCAACUUUAAGAAACACCUGAAGGAACAUGUGAAGCUGCACAGUGACACCCGGGACUACAUCUGUGA
Pteropus alecto (black flying fox) is the source of this 2247-nucleotide RNA transcript. It is a transcript of the gene named zinc finger protein 692, with no coding region annotated. Lineage: Eukaryota; Metazoa; Chordata; Mammalia; Chiroptera; Pteropodidae. The transcript has 11 exons. The record is from RefSeq and is a predicted model, not a curated record.